This 58-nucleotide transfer RNA is filed under the name Diporiphora sobria. RNAcentral describes it as "tRNA-Cys". The record is from RNAcentral. Lineage: Eukaryota; Metazoa; Chordata; Lepidosauria; Squamata; Agamidae.
GGUUUAAAAUAAUGUUUGAGUGCAAAUCAAAUGCGGGGUCAGAUUGACCAUUAAGCCU